This 492-nucleotide ribosomal RNA is filed under the name uncultured bacterium. RNAcentral's name for it is "partial 16S ribosomal RNA". It matches the Rfam family "Bacterial small subunit ribosomal RNA", at positions 29 to 507 of the family's 1533-position model. The record is from RNAcentral.
AGUGAACGCUGGCGGUAGGCCUAACACAUGCAAGUCGAACGGCAGCACAGUAAGAGUUUGCUCUUACGGGUGGCGAGUGGCGGACGGGUGAGGAAUACAUCGGAUUCUACUUUUUCGUGGGGGAUAACGUAGGGAAGCUUACGCUAAUACCGCAUACGACCUACGGGUGAAAGCAGGGGAUCUUCGGACCUUUCGCGAUUGAAUGAGCUGAUGUCGGAUUAGCUAGUUGGCGGGGUAAAGGCCCACCAAGGCGACGAUCCGUAGCUGGUCUGAGAGGAUGAUCAGCCACACUGGAACUGAGACACGGUCCAGACUCCUACGGGAGGCAGCAGUGGGGAAUAUUGGACAAUGGGCGCAAGCCUGAUCCAGCCAUACCGCGUGGGUGAAGAAGGCCUUCGGGUUGUAAAGCCCUUUUGUUGGGAAAGAAAAGCAGCAGGUUAAUACCCCGCUGUUCUGACGGUACCCAAAGAAUAAGCACCGGCUAACUUCGUG